This 72-nucleotide transfer RNA is filed under the name Zootermopsis nevadensis. It matches the Rfam family "tRNA". Rfam says of the family: Transfer RNA (tRNA) molecules are approximately 80 nucleotides in length. Their secondary structure includes four short double-helical elements and three loops (D, anti-codon, and T loops). Lineage: Eukaryota; Metazoa; Arthropoda; Insecta; Blattodea; Termopsidae. The record is from Rfam by way of RNAcentral.
GCAAUGGUGGUCUAGCGGUCAGAACACUAGCCUUGUAAGCCUGGGGUCCCGGGUUCAAUUCCCGGUGGUGCU